AUUGAACGCUGGCGGCAUGCCUUACACAUGCAAGUCGAACGGCAUCACGGUUUCUUGCGCCUGGUAGCGAGUGGCGAACGGGUGAGUAAUACAUCGGCACAUGUCCUGUAGGGGGGGAUAGCCGGGCGAAAGCCGGAUUAACACCUCAUACGAUCCACGGAUGAAAGCGGGGGACCUUAGGGCCUCGCGCUAUAGGGUUGGCCGGUGGCUGAUUGGCUAGUUUGUGGGGUAAAGGCCUACCAAGGCGACGAUCAGUAGCUGGUCUGAGAGGACCAACAGGCACACGAGGAGUGAGAAAGGGCCCCGACUCCUAGAGGAGGACGCAGUGGGGAAUUCUAGGCGAGGGACGAGAGGCUGAUACAGCAAUACCGAGUGUGUGAAGAUGGACUUCGGGUUGUAAAGCAAAUUUGUACGGAAAGAAAUCAUUGACUCUAAUACGGACAGGAGAUGACGGUACCGGAAGAAUAAGCACCGGCUAAAUACGUG
This 486-nucleotide ribosomal RNA is filed under the name uncultured bacterium. RNAcentral's name for it is "partial 16S ribosomal RNA". It matches the Rfam family "Bacterial small subunit ribosomal RNA", at positions 29 to 507 of the family's 1533-position model. The record is from RNAcentral.